CCCUUAGAUGUUCUGGGCCGCACGCGCGCUACACUGACGGUGUCAACGAGUAUUUCCUUCGCCGGAAGGCGUGGGUAAUCUUUUGAAACAUCGUCGUGCUGGGGAUAGAUCAUUGCAAUUAUUGAUCUUGAACGAGGAAUUCCUAGUAAGCGCGAGUCAUCAGCUCGCGUUGAUUACGUCCCUGCCCUUUGUACACACCGCCCGUCGCUACUACCGAUUGAAUGGUUUAGUGAGGCCUCCUGAUUGGCGCCGCCGCCCCGGCAACGGAGCAGUGGAUUGUCGAAAAGUUGGUCAAACUUGAUCAUUUAGAGGAAGUAAAAGUCGUAACA
RNAcentral lists this ribosomal RNA (329 nucleotides) under uncultured eukaryote. RNAcentral describes it as "partial 18S ribosomal RNA". It matches the Rfam family "Eukaryotic small subunit ribosomal RNA", at positions 1470 to 1796 of the family's 1831-position model. The record is from RNAcentral.